Molecule: transfer RNA, 82 nt
Filed under: Podarcis lilfordi (Lilford's wall lizard)
Lineage: Eukaryota; Metazoa; Chordata; Lepidosauria; Squamata; Lacertidae
Description: tRNA.Lys
Rfam family: tRNA (bases 17-74)
About the family: Transfer RNA (tRNA) molecules are approximately 80 nucleotides in length. Their secondary structure includes four short double-helical elements and three loops (D, anti-codon, and T loops).
Source: RNAcentral
GCUUUUAAUACUGGGAUAGCUCAGUCAGUAGAGCAUGAGACUCUUAAUCCCAGGGUUGUGGAUUCGAGCCUCACCUUGGGCA